RNAcentral lists this ribosomal RNA (200 nucleotides) under uncultured Glomus. RNAcentral's name for it is "partial small subunit ribosomal RNA". It matches the Rfam family "Eukaryotic small subunit ribosomal RNA", at positions 591 to 798 of the family's 1831-position model. Lineage: Eukaryota; Fungi; Glomeromycota; Glomeromycetes; Glomerales; Glomeraceae. The record is from RNAcentral.
CCAAUAGCGUAUAUUAAAGUUGUUGCAGUUAAAAAGCUCGUAGUUGAAUUUCGGGACUAAUAUGUCGGUCGUACUUUGUACGUACUAGCAUUAUUGGUUUCUCCCUUCUGACGAACCACGAUGUCAUUAAUUUGGUGUCAUGGGAAAUCAGGACUGUUACUUUGAAAAAAUUAGAGUGUUUAAAGCAAGCUCGCGCUUGA